UACGAAGGGGGCUAGCGUUGCUCGGAAUCACUGGGCGUAAAGCGCACGUAGGCGGGUUGCUAAGUCAGGGGUGAAAUCCUGGAGCUCAACUCCAGAACUGCCUUUGAUACUGGGGAUCUCGAGUCCGGGAGAGGUGAGUGGAACUCCGAGUGUAGAGGUGAAAUUCGUAGAUAUUCGGAAGAACACCAGUGGCGAAGGCGGCUCACUGGCCCGGUACUGACGCUGAGGUGCGAAAGCGUGGGGAGCAAACAGG
This 253-nucleotide ribosomal RNA is filed under the name uncultured bacterium. RNAcentral describes it as "partial 16S ribosomal RNA". It matches the Rfam family "Bacterial small subunit ribosomal RNA", at positions 524 to 776 of the family's 1533-position model. The record is from RNAcentral.